RNAcentral lists this transfer RNA (75 nucleotides) under Gastrophysa polygoni. Its description in RNAcentral is "tRNA-Ile". Lineage: Eukaryota; Metazoa; Arthropoda; Insecta; Coleoptera; Chrysomelidae. The record is from RNAcentral.
AUUUAAGUAUAUUAGCACCAAAAUUUUUGGUAUAAUUGAAGAAAAGUAUGUUUCCCCUCCAUAUUUUAACAAUUA